This 799-nucleotide ribosomal RNA is filed under the name uncultured bacterium. RNAcentral describes it as "bacterial SSU rRNA". It matches the Rfam family "Bacterial small subunit ribosomal RNA", at positions 8 to 782 of the family's 1533-position model. The record is from RNAcentral.
AGAGUUUGAUCAUGGCUCAGGACGAACGCUGGCGGCGUGGAUUAGGCAUGCAAGUCGAACGCGAAAGUAUUUCUUCGGAGAUACGAGUAGAGUGGCGGACGGGUGAGUAACGCGUAGGUGAUUUACCUUAAAGAGGGGGAUAGCCCCGGGAAACCGGGAUUAAUACCGCAUGUGAUAAUCGAGUCGAAUUGAUUAUUAAAGAUGGCCUCUGUUUCAAGCUGUCGCUUUAAGAUAAGCCUGCGUCCUAUUAGCUAGUUGGUAGGGUAAGAGCCUACCAAGGCGAUGAUAGGUAGGCGGCCUUAACGGGUGGUCGCCCACACUGGGAUUGAGAUACGGCCCAGACUCCUACGGGAGGCAGCAGUCGAGAAUAGUCUACAAUGGGGGAAACCCUGAUAGUGCGACGCCGCGUGAACGAAGAAGCCUUUCGGGGUGUAAAGUUCUUUUCUGUGAGAGCAAUGCUUUGUAGCUUAAUAGGCUAUAGAGAGAGAUAUUAUCACAGGAAUAAGCCACGGCUAACUCCGUGCCAGCAGCCGCGGUAAUACGGGGGUGGCGAGCGUUGUCCGGAAUUACUAGGCGUAAAGGGCAAGUAGGCGGAUCUAUAAGUCAUUUGUUAAAGGCAUGGGCUCAACCGAUGUAUGGCAAGUGAUACUGUAGGUCUAGAGUAAAGUGGGUGAAGACGGAAUUCCUGGUGUAGCGGUGGAAUGCGCAGAUAUCAGGAGGAACACCGGAGGCGAAGGCGGUCUUCAACGCUUAUACUGACGCUCAAUUGCGAAAGGUGUGGGUAUCAAACAGGAUUAGA